UUUAACCUGUAUCUUUGUGAAAGACUGAGAAUAGAACGUAGCUUCACCAGCCCAUACCACCCACAAACCAAUGGCUUGGCUGAAAAUGCUAAUAAAUCCAUAAAAAGUACACACAACAACAACAAUGUCACCCUUUCGACUAAUAUUUUGUGCUGACCCAGUGUUUCCAGAAGAAGUCUCAGAGAAUUACAUGAUCCCAGAUAUAAAUAUAUUUGGGGAAGAUUUCUGCAAAAAGUACAGCAUCAAUAUGAAAUGGAGACAUGAUGCUGACAUUGCACUGGCCCUAAGCACAAGAAAAACAACAAAGACAUUAUGCUAAAAGAAAGAAUUCUAAAUAUGGUCAAAUAACAUUUGAUGUUGGGGACUCUGUUCUGUUACUGAAUGCUAGAAAGAGAACAAGAAAAGGAGGAGUGCUGGAACCUAGCUACGACUGUUGAGGGUAAGAGUGAAAUUACAAACCAUCUCAGGGAAAUGGUUAGGAACCAUGUACAGUACCACACACUUAAAACCAUUUAAAGAGUCACUAACAUUAGCUGCUGAAAGUACAUCAGAGGGAAAAAUCGGAACUGAAAUUGCAGUUGGUGACACUGAACCAGAAACACCCACAGAAGAGAUUAGAAAAGUGGAUGGCACUGUAUCUCACGACAGCACAGUAAAAAACAAAGAGGUCACAGCAAUGGAAGAAGAGGAGUAUAUAGGGCAAAACAAUGAUACAAGUUAUGCAGAUGACAAUUUUGAUGACAUGCUUAUGGAAGACAAGCAAUGGAUUCUGAAAGUCAUAUUUGUAAUGACCAGCAAACACACAGAGAGACUGGAGGCCAAAGUGAGAAACAUAAAAUUGUAUGGCUCUUCAUUUCGUGAGAAACAUAAAAUUGUAUGGCUCUUCAUUUCAUUGCCUGAAGCCGAGAAGCUGGAUGAGUGA
This 922-nucleotide long non-coding RNA is filed under the name Gopherus agassizii (Agassiz's desert tortoise). RNAcentral describes it as "lncRNA (ENSGAGG00000017714.1)". Lineage: Eukaryota; Metazoa; Chordata; Testudines; Testudinidae. The record is from RNAcentral.